UACGUAGGGGGCAAGCGUUGUCCGGAAUCAUUGGGCGUAAAGCGCGUGUAGGCGGCUCGGUAAGUCUGCUGUGAAAGUCCAGGGCUCAACCCUGGGAUGCCGGUGGAUACUGUCGAGCUCGAGUCCGGAAGAGGCGAGUGGAAUUCCUGGUGUAGCGGUGAAAUGCGUAGAUAUCUGGAGGAACACCGGUGGCGAAGGCGGCAUCCUGGACCGAGAUUGACGCUGAGGCGCGAAAGCCAGGGGAGCAAACGGG
Molecule: ribosomal RNA, 253 nt
Filed under: uncultured bacterium
Lineage: Bacteria
Description: partial 16S ribosomal RNA
Rfam family: Bacterial small subunit ribosomal RNA
Source: RNAcentral